CGCGGCCUAUCAGCUUGUUGGUGAGGUAAUGGCUCACCAAGGCUUCGACGGGUAGCCGGCCUGAGAGGGCGACCGGCCACACUGGGACUGAGAUACGGCCCAGACUCCUACGGGAGGCAGCAGUGGGGAAUAUUGCACAAUGGGCGCAAGCCUGAUGCAGCAACGCCGCGUGCGGGAUGACGGCCUUCGGGUUGUAAACCGCUUUCAGUAGGGACGAAGCUAACGUGACGGUACCUACGGAAGAAGGACCGGCUAACUACGUGCCAGCAGCCGCGGUGAUACGUAGGGUCCGAGCGUUGUCCGGAAUUAUUGGGCGUAAAGGGCUUGUAGGCGGUCCGUCGCGUCAGGAGUGAAAACUCGGGGCUUAACCCCGAGCCUGCUUUUGAUACGGGCGGACUAGAGGGAUGCAGGGGAGAACGGAAUUCCUGGUGGAGCGGUGGAAUGCGCAGAUAUCAGGAGGAACACCGGUGGCGAAGGCGGUUCUCUGGGCAUCACCUGACGCUGAGAAGCGAAAGCGUGGGGAGCAAACAGGCUUAGAUACCCUGGUAGUCCACGCCGUAAACGGUGGGCACUAGGUGUGGGGGACAUUCCACGUUCUCCGUGCCGAAGCUAACGCAUUAAGUGCCCCGCCUGGGGAGUACGG
Molecule: ribosomal RNA, 643 nt
Filed under: uncultured bacterium
Lineage: Bacteria
Description: bacterial SSU rRNA
Rfam family: Bacterial small subunit ribosomal RNA
Source: RNAcentral